GAUGAACGCUAGCUACAGGCUUAACACAUGCAAGUCGAGGGGCAGCAUGGUCUUAGCUUGCUAAGGCCGAUGGCGACCGGCGCACGGGUGAGUAACACGUAUCCAACCUGCCGUCUACUCUUGGACAGCCUUCUGAAAGGAAGAUUAAUACAAGAUGGCAUCAUGAGUCCGCAUGUUCACAUGAUUAAAGGUAUUCCGGUAGACGAUGGGGAUGCGUUCCAUUAGAUAGUAGGCGGGGUAACGGCCCACCUAGUCUUCGAUGGAUAGGGGUUCGGGGAGGGAGGGCCCCCGCAUUGGACCUGAGACACUGUCAAAACUCCUCCGGGAGGCAGCAGUGGGGAGUAAUGGGCGAGGGGCGCAGGCCUGAACCCGCAAAGUAGAGUGAAGGAUGACGGCCCUAUGGGUUGUACACUUCUUUUAUAAAGGAAUAAAGUCGGGUAUGUAUACCCGUUUGCAUGUACUGUAAGAAUAAGGAUCGGCUAACUCCGU
Molecule: ribosomal RNA, 489 nt
Filed under: uncultured bacterium
Lineage: Bacteria
Description: partial 16S ribosomal RNA
Rfam family: Bacterial small subunit ribosomal RNA
Source: RNAcentral